RNAcentral lists this ribosomal RNA (434 nucleotides) under uncultured Ruminococcus sp. RNAcentral's name for it is "partial 16S ribosomal RNA". It matches the Rfam family "Bacterial small subunit ribosomal RNA", at positions 341 to 792 of the family's 1533-position model. Lineage: Bacteria; Bacillati; Bacillota; Clostridia; Eubacteriales; Oscillospiraceae. The record is from RNAcentral.
ACGGGAGGCAGCAGUGGGGAAUAUUGCACAAUGGGCGCAAGCCUGAUGUAGCGAUGCCGCGUGAGGGAAGAAGGUUUUCGGAUUGUAAACCUCUGUCAACAGGGACGAAAAUGACGGUACCUGUGAAGGAAGCUCCGGCUAACUACGUGCCAGCAGCCGCGGUAAUACGUAGGGAGCAAGCGUUAUCCGGAUUUACUGGGUGUAAAGGGCGUGUAGGCGGGACUGUAAGUCAGAUGUGAAAUAUGCCGGCUCAACUGGCAGACUGCAUUUGAAACUGCGGUUCUUGAGUGAAGUAGAGGUAAGCGGAAUUCCUAGUGUAGCGGUGAAAUGCGUAGAUAUUAGGAGGAACAUCAGUGGCGAAGGCGGCUUACUGGGCUUUAACUGACGCUGAGGCUCGAAAGCGUGGGGAGCAAACAGGAUUAGAUACCCUGGUA